ACCGAGCUUUCGACCGCGACCCCAGGUCAGACGGGAUCACCCGCUGAGUUUAAGCAUAUCAAUAAGCGGAGGA
RNAcentral lists this ribosomal RNA (73 nucleotides) under Euphrasia transmorrisonensis. Its description in RNAcentral is "partial 26S ribosomal RNA". The record is from RNAcentral. RNAcentral also lists the same sequence under 3 other names. Lineage: Eukaryota; Viridiplantae; Streptophyta; Magnoliopsida; Lamiales; Orobanchaceae.